This 469-nucleotide ribosomal RNA is filed under the name uncultured bacterium. Its description in RNAcentral is "bacterial SSU rRNA". It matches the Rfam family "Bacterial small subunit ribosomal RNA", at positions 355 to 825 of the family's 1533-position model. The record is from RNAcentral.
UCGAGAAUCUUCGGCAAUGAGCGCAAGCUUGACCGAGCGACGCCGCGUGCGGGAUGAAGGCCUUCGGGUUGUAAACUGCUGUCACGCACUAGGAAUCCCCUGCGGUGAAUAGCCGCAGGGUUGACUAAAGCGAGAGGAAGCACCGGCUAACUCUGUGCCAGCAGCCGCGGUAAGACAGAGGGUGCAAACGUUGUUCGGAAUCACUGGGCAUAAAGCGCACGUAGGCCGUCCACUAAGUCGAAUGUGAAAUACCCCGGCUCAACCGGGGAACUGCAUCCGAUACUGGUGGACUCGAGGAUGGUUGGGGUGAGUGGAACUCCAGGUGGAGCGGUGAAAUGCGUAGAUAUCUGGAGGAACACCGGUGGCGAAAGCGGCUCACUGGACCAUCUCUGACGCUGAGGUGCGAAAGCUAGGGGAGCAAACGGGAUUAGAUACCCUUGUAGUCCCUGAGCGGGCUGGCAAGGCGCAU